GAGGGUAAUUCUCAGUGGUAGAGUGAGUGCUUAGCAUGCACAAGGUCCUGGGUUCAAUCCCCAGUACCUCCA
This 72-nucleotide transfer RNA is filed under the name Camelus bactrianus (Bactrian camel). It matches the Rfam family "tRNA". Rfam says of the family: Transfer RNA (tRNA) molecules are approximately 80 nucleotides in length. Their secondary structure includes four short double-helical elements and three loops (D, anti-codon, and T loops). The record is from Rfam by way of RNAcentral. RNAcentral also lists the same sequence under 2 other names. Lineage: Eukaryota; Metazoa; Chordata; Mammalia; Artiodactyla; Camelidae.